CCCAGCCUCAAAGCCUCUGUCCCACCUGAGCUUGAGGUUCAGGCAUGGGGAGAGGAUCUGAGUGACAGGGAAAGGUGAAGCCACUCUGCCCUAACACCGUGUCCAGCCCACGUUGGAGAGGAGCUGCUCUGCUCCCGUGGGCCAGCCCGGCGUCACAGGCCAUUAAUCAGGGCCUUCACGCUAAAUAAAGCUGUCACUCAGCCAGGGAGGCUCCCAGCCCCACUAAAUCCAGCACUGACAACCCAGGACAUGGAGAGCUGUCAGUUAUUUGGGUUUUAAACACCAGCCAUCCCCUCUCAGAGCUGGGCCAUAAAGCUCCCUCCUAAUUACACAUUAGAAGGUUUAUGAGGGAAGAAGCUGCUGAGAGUUAAGGCCCGGCUGAAAGCCACUGGUGUUCCUCCUACAGAGGACACAAUUAAAACGUGGCUGUGCUUGUCAGAGGCAAAGGGCUGGAUUAUCAUGCAAAGCAGUGGAAGGACAAGAAUGGGAAAUGAAGGCUGACAAACUGUCAGCCCCGGUGUGUCGCUCGCCAGCAGAAGUGAAAAAGGCCCCAUGGCAGAUGCCGGGGAUGCAGCUGCACCCUUCACUUUGAAUUUACUGACUUCUGCUGGUUCGUGUCCAUGUUUGACACUGCGCUCCCUCAUUUGGUUAAAAAUAAAUAGAAAAGGAAGAAAACAGAAAAACACUACUCAAGACACCAGAAAGGGAACUAAAGUGAGAGCUGCCCUCAGGGCGUGGGAAGCAGAACCCAGCAUUUAUGAGGUAGACAAUUCCCACUCCAAGUAGAUGGGUUCUUUCCCUAAAUGUCUGUUGCUUUCAUGGAACCCAUCAUCUUGAAAGCUGGAGAGGGACUUUUUACAAGGGCAUGGAGUGACAGGACAAGGGGGAAUGGCUUCAAACUGCCAGAGAGCAGGGAUGGAUGGGAUGUCAGGGAGAAAUUCCUCCCUGUGAGGAUGGACAGGCCCUGAUACAGGUUGUCCAGAGAAUCUGUGGCUGCCCCAUCCCCUGAAAGUGUCCAAGGCCAGGUUGGAUAGGGCUUGGAGCCACCAGGUCUAAUAGCAAGUGUCCCUGCCCAUGGCAGGGGAUGGAACUGGCUGAUCUUUAAGGUGCCUUCCUAUCCAGACCAUUCCAUUUAGGUGCAAUUCUCUUCUAGUUGCCUGACAUCAUCCCCUGCUUGGUAAAAGCACACAAAGUCCAAAAUUGUGGUGGGGAGAGGAAGCAGAAAAGGAAAUCUCCCUCUAUUUGUCCUGGGUCAGGGAGACUCUUUCUGAGGUGACAGAAGCCAGGAAGAUGUGUCACUUAUUGAGAUGGUUGAGUGGUGGACGUGGCAGAGUUUGAUUUAUGGUUGGACUUGAUGGCAUUAAGGGUCUUUUCCAAUCUAAAUGAUUCUGUGGGGCAGAUUGACCCAACACCUGCACAGCUGCUGUGCACAGGCUGAUCCAUGGAUGGAGGUCUCAUGGGGCAGCUCCACACCCAGGGGCACUCCUGGCCUGCGGAUUCCCAGCGUGUUUCACAAACACCUCCCUUGCAGACGGGGGUUACUGGGUGAGACAGCUGGGAAUGCACAGGCCACAUACCCACCCCUAAAGCACAGUGACAGGAACUUUUGGGUGGGAAAAGGGAACCUUUGGAGCUGGGAAAAGAGGGGUGAAGCCAGCUUCUUCAUUCCUCCCAGCAGCACUGGGAACCUUAACAUCACUGUGCCAUUUGUCUUUUGCUCUGUAUGUCAAAGCUGAGGGCACAAUCUAUUCCCCAUUCCUCAGCCAGCCCAGCUGAUGUCUGGGGAGCACUUACAGUGGCAGAGACAGAGCCUGCUUAAUUGCAUUUCUUGUAAUGCACAAGGAGCUAAACUGGAAUCCAUUUCUCCAAGGACAGAAAAGUUGAAGGAAAAGAAAAAGUCUUCUGUUUCUGUAAUGUCUUCCUCUAGCACAGAUCACUCUGGAAAAAAAAUAAUGGUUUGCCUGCUUCAUCCCUGUGUGUGAGUGUACUCAAAAUGCAGAGGAGGUACUGAGCCUGGUCACCUUCCAUAAAGCCAGCAGAGAAACAGGGAAAUCAAAUGAGCAGUCUCAGCUGCCUGCUGCCACCAUUGCUAAACCCAGCAGGGCAGAGGAGCCCUGGGAGACACAGCAGGGCUCCGAAAAAUUCAAAGGGAAGUGACAAAAGGGAGUAGGGCUUGCCAUUUCUGACAGAAAGCCAUCCUCCUACUCUGAUGGAAGAGUCUUGGCAGGGAGCUACAGCAGGGAAAAUGAGAUGAUACAGCAUUUAACGUUUGGGGUAAUGAGGCCUAUAACAGAUGACACUUGAGAAGUGAAACACUAAGGUAGUGGUAUUGCAUUUAAAUAUUGGCAACAAACUAAAGCUUUUCAUCUGUCUGCUCAACGCCCCCUUUUUGACCUCAGAAGGAUAAAUCUCUUUUCUUUUCUUGAUUUUAUGUGAAGAGCACAAGUCAACUGCUCUUCUCUUGGAACGACUCCGCCUUAAAAACAAAGGUUGCUCCAAUCCACUUUCUACUGCCUGUAUAAAUCAACAUGCAAAUUAUUAGAAUGAUAUUAAAACAGGAGCUGCUCUGAAUGACCAGCCCUGAGAGGAAGAAUUAGUUCCCUGCUUUUGUUAAGCUCAUAAUUCAGAUUUCAGACUCUUCCGUGCAGAGAUGAGGAAGAAAAGCAGCACAGAGAGGAAGCCGCCGCUUGGGUGGAAUAAGAAAAUCUUCCAAUUAGUCUGUCUCCUCUCCUGGAUCACAUUUCACGCUUCCUACAGCUGCAACCAGAACGAAGGAUGAGAAUCCAGCAUACAAAUGCCUAGUUCAUUUGCUACAGCAGCAUGAAUAGGAUUAAAAUAAUCUGAAGAGGAAUUAAAUGCCUCAACAGUCAGGUUGCAAGAGCGGGAGAAUAAGACCUCUUGUGUGCGUUUCCAGGAUCAGUGGAGUGGGGCCAGCAGAAGUGACCCAGGGUUAAUGCAGCUCAGACCUGCCUUGGAGGCACUAUUUUAUUCCUACUCAAAAGGAGUGGGCCCCAAAUCCUGCAUCCUUGGCCAUGAGCUGUGAAAUGUUUGUUCACAUCCAACGAGGAGUCGAGUGGAUGAGUUUUCAAUGUCACCACUUGCAUGUGCUGGAUUUCCAAGCCUGCAAAUAAUCUGUACCAUGGGCUGCUGGUUUCCCUCUAAAAUACUCUGACUCACAAAAAACCUGUCUGGGGGAAACGUAAACUGGCAAGUGAUUUUAAAUGAACAGGUUUGGUUGAACUUGCUACCUAACAACACUGUUCAAAUAAGAAAAUAUUUUCUACCUCUGAAGAAAUAAGGACAGAACUCAAAAAGCUUGUGAAGUAGAAGCACAGCAGUGUCAUGGCUCUAAUUGAAAGCAAACUUGAUCACUCUGGGAAACCCCAGUGCUUUGAGAAGAGGUGAAACCAGCCUAUGAGGUUCAUGAAGAGAUUCAUGAGGACAGGCACUGCCCAUUGGCUUGGGAAGAUGCCAUGGCCACGUUAGAAAUGAUUCCUGAUCUACACUUGGUCUGUGGUGUGGUGUGAGAGUUAGACUGGAAGAGGGAAACAAACAAACAGAGCUGUGGCCACUGCACUGAUGCUCUGUGACUUACCUGACAGGUUGGUAUCAUUGGAGGGCAUUUACCUUGUAGGAUUAUCUGUUUAUCAGUCACUGAUCAAAUAAGAAAACCAGCUCUGGGUACAGGCACUGAACCAAGCAAGGAAUGCUGCCCUGCAGCUGCUCUUGACACAGCAGGAAACCCACAGAUCUCUCCCUCUGCAUAAGCCAAUGUGUCAGGAGAGAACAAUUGUAAAUUCUUUCUGGUUUUGCAUCCAGGAACCUCUGCUGGUUUCAGUAGCUACUCCAGUCCUGCCUCUCACUGCAGAGCAGUACAGUCAGAAUUAUGCACUGUGCUGUCAGGCUGCAGCUUGGAAAUCCCUGGCUGGCCUGUUUGCAUUAUGAUUUAUUUACCGUGUUUUGUUUAUUCACAUUAAACUUCCAGGUUUCAGGAAAAAAAGGAAACGCGUUUUUUGUGGCAGUUGUGAAAUGCACUGAAUCACGUCCCGUGACUCAGCUUCUCCUUGGAGCUGGAAAUUCAUGUGAAGCCCUGAGUGCACCAUUCCCUGCUGGUGCCCCAUGUUUGUAGAAGUGAUCUGUGACUUGUGAUUUGUUUUUACAGUCCCCCUCACCUUCUGCUGGCCCAGCUGUGAUGUUGGCUUGCAGCUCAGGUCCAUAGGCGAUGGUUCGGGCUUGCACUCGGAAUAAAUAGGUCAUGCCCUUGGUGAGAUCCCGGACCUUCAGCCAGCGCUGCCAGUUCCCCUUAAUGUCCACAGUCACCACCUUGCUCACCCCUGCAACAGCCACACAGGUAAAAAAAUAAGAGGGAGUUUCAAUGCAAAAAUAGAAAUCAGUGGAGCUUAUUACAUCUAGAUGGUAAGUAAAAUCAUCUUAACAGUUUGCUAAGAAAGUAUUUCUUACAAUUAGCAGGAGUUUAAGUAGUGAUAAUAGGCAAUUUUCAGCACUGAUAAGUAUAAUUAGAGUUUAAGCUUGAUAAGUGGGUACUGACAAGGAAAAAACCUUACAACACAUCUGGGAAAUUACCAAGAGACUACAUGUAACCUCAGUAAUUAUUCUGGGAAGAAAGGAGGAGGUAAACGAAGAGGAGUGCACAUUCCAGAUUGCUUCCCAGGCAAGCAUUUUUCUGUUGCUGCUUCCCCAAAUAACCUCCAACAUGGUCUGGAGGAGGAACAAGGGCCAGGUGUGUUCCAUUCAUCUCCUCCUGCAAUAUCCACCAUUCCCAUGUGGAUGUGAAGGAUGUGCAGCUCACCAGGACCUUGGGGCUCCAAAUGCCAUGGCAACAGGGGAUGCAACCAAAGUACUGUGAGCUCAAACAAGGCUGGAGCUGUGACUUGUGUUUCACUCUUCUCACUCUCUCAGAAUUUUUCUUACAGGGAUCAGUUAAAACCAGAGUUGUUCCUUUCACCAAAGCUUCACAUUUAGGUUCUCAAUGCUGCAGAAAGGACUGAGGGCAAUGACUGGUUUGAAAACAAAAGCUCCGGCUUUUACUGAAAUUUUCUAGAAGUAAGUCAAUGGAAAGAAUUUGAUUUAUAAAAGAUUUUACAGAAUAAAACGUUCAAAUAUA
Molecule: long non-coding RNA, 5125 nt
Organism: Passer domesticus (house sparrow)
Lineage: Eukaryota; Metazoa; Chordata; Aves; Passeriformes; Passeridae
Exons: 2
Source: RefSeq, a predicted model, not a curated record